GACGAACGCUGGCGGCGUGCCUAAUACAUGCAAGUCGAGCGAAGUUUUUCUGGUGCUUGCACUAGAAAAACUUAAGCGGCGAACGGGUGAGUAACACGUAAAGAACCUGCCUCAUAGACUGGGGACAACUAUUGGAAACGAUAGCUAAUACCGGAUAACAGUAUUUCUCGCCUGAGAGAUAUUUAAAAGUUUGGUUAUGCUAACACUAUGAGAUGGCUUUGCGGUGAUUAGCUAGUUGGUGGGGUAAAAGGGCCUAACCAAAGGCGACGAUGCAUAGCCCGACCUUGAGAGGGUGAUUCGGCCACCACUGGGGACUGAGAACACGGCCCCAGACUCCUUACGGGAGGGCCAGCCAGUAGGGAAUUCUUUCCCGCCAUGGGCGAAAGCCUGAC
Molecule: ribosomal RNA, 392 nt
Filed under: Gemella morbillorum
Lineage: Bacteria; Bacillati; Bacillota; Bacilli; Caryophanales; Gemellaceae
Description: bacterial SSU rRNA
Rfam family: Bacterial small subunit ribosomal RNA
Source: RNAcentral